Molecule: ribosomal RNA, 442 nt
Filed under: Glaesserella parasuis
Lineage: Bacteria; Pseudomonadati; Pseudomonadota; Gammaproteobacteria; Pasteurellales; Pasteurellaceae
Description: partial 23S ribosomal RNA
Rfam family: Bacterial large subunit ribosomal RNA
Source: RNAcentral
GUGAAAAACUCGUUCGCCGGAAGACCAAGGGUUCCUGUCCAACGUUAAUCGGGGCAGGGUGAGUCGGCCCCUAAGGCGAGGCUGAAAAGCGUAGUCGAUGGGAAACGGGUUAAUAUUCCCGUACUUGUCUUCAUUGCGAUGUGGGGACGGAGAAGGUUAGGUUAGCAGACUGUUGGAUGUCUGUUUAAGUUGGUAGGUGGGGAGCUUAGGCAAAUCCGGGCUCCUAUUAACACUGAGAGAUGAUGACGAGUUUCUACGGAAAUGAAGUAACUGAUACCACGCUUCCAGGAAAAGCCACUAAGCGAAAGGCUUUACUAAACCGUACUGAAAACCGACACAGGUGGUCAGGUAGAGAAUACUCAGGCGCUUGAGAGAACUCGGGUGAAGGAACUAGGCAAAAUAGCACCGUAACUUCGGGAGAAGGUGCGCUGGCGUAGGUUGU